UCGGGAAUAUUGCGCAAUGGAGGAAACUCUGACGCAGUGACGCCGCGUAUAGGAAGAAGGUUUUCGGAUUGUAAACUAUUUUAGUCAGGGAAGAAAAAAGACGGUACCUGAAGAAUAAGCUCCGGCUAACUACGUGCCAGCAGCCGCGGUAAUACGUAGGGAGCAAGCGUUAUCCGGAAUUAUUGGGUGUAAAGGGUGCGUAGACGGGAAUACAAGUUAGUUGUGAAAGCCCUCGGCUUAACUGAGGAACUGCAACUAAAACUAUAUUUCUUGAGUGCAGGAGAGGAAAGCGGAAUUCCUAGUGUAGCGGUGAAAUGCGUAGAUAUUAGGAGGAACACCAGUGGCGAAGGCGGCUUUCUGGACUGUAACUGACGUUGAGGCACGAAAGUGUGGGGAGCAAACAGG
This 405-nucleotide ribosomal RNA is filed under the name uncultured bacterium. Its description in RNAcentral is "bacterial SSU rRNA". It matches the Rfam family "Bacterial small subunit ribosomal RNA", at positions 355 to 776 of the family's 1533-position model. The record is from RNAcentral.